This 254-nucleotide ribosomal RNA is filed under the name uncultured bacterium. RNAcentral describes it as "partial 16S ribosomal RNA". It matches the Rfam family "Bacterial small subunit ribosomal RNA", at positions 524 to 776 of the family's 1533-position model. The record is from RNAcentral.
UACGUAGGGUGCGAGCGUUAAUCGGAAUUAUUGGGCGUAAAGGGCGCGUAGGCGGUCAGCACAAGUCAGUUGUGAAAUCUCCGGGCUUAACUCGGAAAGGUCAACUGAUACUGUGCGACUAGAGUGCAGAAGGGGCAACUGGAAUUCUCGGUGUAGCGGUGAAAUGCGUAGAUAUCGAGAGGAACACCUGCGGCGAAGGCGGGUUGCUGGGCUGACACUGACGCUGAGGCGCGAAAGCCAGGGGAGCGAACGGG